RNAcentral lists this long non-coding RNA (620 nucleotides) under Gossypium raimondii (Peruvian cotton). RNAcentral's name for it is "long non-coding RNA (GRAI_LNC009467)". Lineage: Eukaryota; Viridiplantae; Streptophyta; Magnoliopsida; Malvales; Malvaceae. The record is from RNAcentral.
UAACACUCCCUAGUUUUGUAAACAAAUUUUGAUAUUGCACAGUCGAUUUUCACCAAAAACCUGAAACAAAACAAGAAUCCGAAUAUUUAUCCACUUGAUUUUCUAGUUGAUUUCAAUUCUAUCAGUCAAGUAAACAAAUAUGCAAUCUUAUAUAUACAAAAAAAAAAAAGCAAAGAACGGACGAAAAUGCUCGACUUUUUUUUAAUUUUUCUCGAUAAACAAACAGAAAAAACUUACACAGCUAUGCAGCAGAGGAGUAUUGACUGUAAUGCAGCAAAGGGGACAGUCGAUGGCGGUGCAGCAGAUGGUCGGGGAAAAUCUAAGGGAUUUGGGGAAAUAUUUAGGGAUUUGGGAAAAUUUUUAGGAGAAAAAAUAAGGGAUUUCGAGGAUAUGAUUUAGGGAUAAAACUGCGUAAAACAAAACGGCGUCGUUUCGUUUAAAAUAAAAUGAUACUUUGCGGCACUUUUCUUAUAACGCCGCUAAUGCUUGACCUUUUGCGGCGCCUUUCUCAUAAACGCCGCUACUGCUUUACUUAUUGCGGCAUUUUUCCGUUAGCGCCACUAAUGUAUAAUAUUUGAGGCGUUUUUCCGUCCAAACCCCACUAAAAACGCCGCUAAAAC